GACGAACGCUGGCGGCGUGCUUAACACAUGCAAGUCGAACGGAAAGGCCCUGCUUGCAGGGUACUCGAGUGGCGAACGGGUGAGUAACACGUGGGUGAUCUGCCCUGCACUUCGGGAUAAGCCUGGGAAACUGGGUCUAAUACCGGAUAGGAGCCAUUUUUAGUGUGAUGGUUGGAAAGUUUUUUCGGUGUAGGAUGAGCUCGCGGCCUAUCAGCUUGUUGGUGGGGUAAUGGCCUACCAAGGCGGCGACGGGUAGCCGGCCUGAGAGGGUGGACGGCCACAUUGGGACUGAGAUACGGCCCAGACUCCUACGGGAGGCAGCAGGGGGGAAUAUUGCACAAUGGGCGCAAGCCUGAUGCAGCGACGCCGCGUGGGGGAGGACGGCCUUCGGGUUGUAAACUCCUUUCGCUAGGGACGAAGCUUUUUGUGACGGUACCUAGAUAAGAAGCACCGGCUAACUACGUG
RNAcentral lists this ribosomal RNA (465 nucleotides) under uncultured bacterium. RNAcentral describes it as "partial 16S ribosomal RNA". It matches the Rfam family "Bacterial small subunit ribosomal RNA", at positions 28 to 507 of the family's 1533-position model. The record is from RNAcentral.